Molecule: unclassified non-coding RNA, 307 nt
Filed under: plant metagenome
Description: partial contains 5.8S ribosomal RNA, internal transcribed spacer 2, and large subunit ribosomal RNA
Rfam family: 5.8S ribosomal RNA (bases 1-105)
Source: RNAcentral
GAAAUGCGAUAAGUAGUGUGAAUUGCAGAAUUUAGCGAAUCAUCGAAUCUUUGAACGCACAUUGCGCCCCUUGGUAUUCCAUGGGGCAUGCCUGUUCGAGCGUCAUUUCAACCCUCAAGCACUGCUUGGUGUUGGGCGUUUGUCCCGCCUACGCGCGUGGACUCGCCUCAAAGUCAUUGGCGGCUGUUACCCUUCGGCUCGUAAGCGCAGCACAGUCGGCGCCCGGAGCUCUGGUGGGAUGGCGUCCAGCAAGCUAUAUUUUCAGGCUUGACCUCGGAUCAGGUAGGGAUACCCGCUGAACUUAAGC